RNAcentral lists this ribosomal RNA (301 nucleotides) under uncultured bacterium. RNAcentral describes it as "partial 16S ribosomal RNA". It matches the Rfam family "Bacterial small subunit ribosomal RNA", at positions 509 to 807 of the family's 1533-position model. The record is from RNAcentral.
CAGCAACCGCGGUAAUACGAAGGGGGCUAGCGUUGUUCGGAUUUACUGGGCGUAAAGGGCGCGUAGGCGGUUUGACAAGUUUGGUGUGAAAUCUAUGGGCUCAACCCAUAGCCUGCAUCGAAAACUGUCGGGCUUGAGUAUGGGAGAGGUGAGUGGAAUUUCCGGUGUAGCGGUGAAAUGCGUAGAUAUCGGAAGGAACACCUGUGGCGAAAGCGGCUCACUGGACCAUUACUGACGCUGAGGCGCGAAAGCUAGGGGAGCAAACAGGAUUAGAUACCCCCGUAGUCCCUGUCUCUUAUAC